AACGAACGCUGGCGGCAUGCCUAACACAUGCAAGUCGAACGAGACCUUCGGGUCUAGUGGCGCACGGGUGCGUAACGCGUGGGAACCUGCCCUUAGGUUCGGAAUAACUCCCCGAAAGGGGUGCUAAUACCGGAUAAUGUCUUCGGACCAAAGAUUUAUCGCCUUUGGAUGGGCCCGCGUUGGAUUAGCUAGUUGGUAGGGUAAAAGCCUACCAAGGCGACGAUCCAUAGCUGGUCUGAGAGGAUGAUCAGCCACACUGGGACUGAGACACGGCCCAGACUCCUACGGGAGGCAGCAGUGGGGAAUAUUGGGCAAUGGGCGAAAGCCUGAUCCAGCAAUGCCGCGUGAGUGAUGAAGACCUUAGGGUUGUAAAGCUCUUUUACCCGGGAUGAUAAUGACAGUACCGGGAGAAUAAGCUCCGGCUAACUCCGUG
This 433-nucleotide ribosomal RNA is filed under the name uncultured bacterium. RNAcentral describes it as "partial 16S ribosomal RNA". It matches the Rfam family "Bacterial small subunit ribosomal RNA", at positions 29 to 507 of the family's 1533-position model. The record is from RNAcentral.